CGAAGUUGGAAUUGCUAGUAAUCGCGGAUCAGCAUGCCGCGGUGAAUACGUUCCCGGGUCUUGUACACACCGCCCGUCACACCAUGGGAGCUGGUAACACCCGAAGUCAGUAGUCUAACCGCAAGGAGGACGCUGCCGAAGGUGGGAUUAGCGACUGGGGUGAAGUCGUAACAAGGUAUC
Molecule: ribosomal RNA, 180 nt
Filed under: uncultured bacterium
Lineage: Bacteria
Description: partial 16S ribosomal RNA
Rfam family: Bacterial small subunit ribosomal RNA
Source: RNAcentral